UCGUAUAACGGAGGUGCCGAGGCUGUCGCUAAUAUUUUUUGUGCACGCCUCGGUGCUCUCUCAUAAUCCAUCUCACACCCUUUUGUGCAUCACGGCGUGGGCACCCUCUUUUAGAGAGUGUUUGCGCUUUUACACACACCCACCGCAUGUGUAGAAUGUCUUACUAUCUGCGAUAACACGCAAUCAAUA
RNAcentral lists this unclassified non-coding RNA (189 nucleotides) under uncultured Russulales. Its description in RNAcentral is "sequence contains ITS1". The record is from RNAcentral. Lineage: Eukaryota; Fungi; Basidiomycota; Agaricomycetes; Agaricales.